CCUACGGGAGGCAGCAGUGGGGAAUCUUGCGCAAUGGGCGAAAGCCUGACGCAGCAACGCCGCGUGCGGGAAGAAGGCUCUCGGGUUGUAAACCGCUUUCAGCAGGAACGAAAAUGACGGUACUUGCAGAAGAAGGUGCGGCCAACUACGUGCCAGCAGCCGCGGUGACACGUAGGCACCAAGCGUUGUCCGGAUUUAUUGGGCGUAAAGAGCUCGUAGGCGGUUCGGUAAGUCAGGUGUGAAAACUUUGGGCUCAACCCAAAGCCUGCAUCUGAUACUGCUGUGACUAGAGUUCGGUAGGGGAGCGGGGAAUUCCUAGUGUAGCGGUGAAAUGCGCAGAUAUUAGGAGGAACACCGGUGGCGAAGGCGCCGCUCUGGGCCGAAACUGACGCUGAGGAGCGAAAGCGUGGGUAGCAAACAGGAUUAGAUACCCUGGUAGUCCACGCCGUAAACGUUGGGCACUAGGUGUGGGUUUCAACCAACGAAAUCCGCGCCGUCGCUAACGCAUUAAGUGCCCGCCUGGGGAGUACGGCCGCAAGGUUAAACUCAAAGGAAUUGACGGCUGAGAGNGCGAGCGACACGAGGAGAG
This 589-nucleotide ribosomal RNA is filed under the name uncultured bacterium. Its description in RNAcentral is "bacterial SSU rRNA". It matches the Rfam family "Bacterial small subunit ribosomal RNA", at positions 338 to 943 of the family's 1533-position model. The record is from RNAcentral.